CCAUUACAGCUUUUCACCGUGUCCCUCGACGAUGGAGGAAGACCCUAACCAGCAAGAGCAACAGCUGCAGCAGGAGGAUCCUGGGCCAAAUCCUCCUCUUAGCAUAUGCUUCUUCAGACAACACUCUUCACGGCGUCACCCGAUGAAGGAAGAAGACCCUAACCAGCAGGAGCAACAGAUGCAGCAGGAGAAUCCUGAGCUUGAAUCUCAUAUUAGCAUCUAUUCCUCAAAACAGGAGUGUGAUAUCCUCUAAAAGAAUCAGACAUCUACCAGAUGACAUCAGCGUUGGUACCUUGAGCACAGCAGCAGGGGCAGCCAGUAGCUUUAAGGAUUCAACAGCUGACGAGUCAAUCUCAUCCUCAGAGUUUUACACUGAUGUCUAUUAAAGGAUCAUGAAACAAUGUAACAGAAGCAAAGAUCCCAACAAAUAUGUUAUUUUUCUGGAAAGAGAUAAGAUAAAAUCUCAUAAAGAAAAACCCUAAGUAUGAGAAGAUGAGCAUUAACAAAAUUAGAAAUCUUUUUAAGUAUUUAAAACGAGUGUCAAAAUCAGUUUACAAAUUAAUGGGAUAAAAAGGGUGAAAAAUAAGGAAAAAACUCCUCGAGUAACAGUCUUUCUUCUUUUCUUUUAUAUUCAGUUUUCUUGCGUGUUUCAUGUAAGAUUAAAUAAAUUACAUAUCGUUACAUGUACUUGAAACCAUUAUCAAGAUAAGUUUGCUUAUCUUGAUCAUAUGCUUGUCUCCAAGAUUAAGCCGAAUAAGGUGAAACUGCGAAUGGCUCAUUAAAUCACCUAUGAUUCAUUGGAUCUGUAUCCCACACUUAACUUGGAUAACUGUGGUAAUUCUAGAGAUAAUACAUGCACCACGUCUCUGACCGCAAGGGAAGAGCGCUCUAAUUAGUUCAAAACUAAUGGGUCAAGAGGAUUCAGAGUUCGAUUACGGAGAGGGAGCCUGAGAAACAGCUACCACAUCUAAGGAAGGCAGCAGGCACGCAAAUUACCCACUCCCGGCACGGGGAGGUAGUGACGAAAAAUAACGAUGCGAGACUCAUCCGAGGC
Long non-coding RNA from Scylla paramamosain (green mud crab), 1054 nucleotides. RefSeq lists it as uncharacterized. The record is from RefSeq and is a predicted model, not a curated record. NCBI's taxonomy places the organism in Eukaryota, Metazoa, Arthropoda, Malacostraca, Decapoda, Portunidae. The transcript has 3 exons.